CUCCAUCAUUAUACAUAAAAUAAACAAUUCAAUAGUAAACUUAUUUUCACCCACACCCAAUCUCAAUCAUAAUUUAAUACUCAAUCAAUUUAAACUAAACGAUCCGAAGAACGUUCUCCAGCAUCAACUUUGCUCAUAACACCCAUUGUUGCACUUGCAUUGUUCCCAUCCUUUGUUGAUCUCAUCGAACCAACCCGGCCCAAAAAAGAUGGGGCACACGUGAACCCUUUUUGGUCCAGCCGGCUCUCCACAUUGAACCGCUCAUAUUGUAGAAAGUUCCUCCCCACACUCCUUGUUCGGUAACCCCUUUUCCCACUACCUAAUGUAGCUUCCCAGGUCUUUGUUCGGCGCAACGUGAUAUCAUUCAUUAAUCGAUUAUGCACUUCAUCCGGCAAUCUCAACGUGAACCGCUCACAAUCCUCAUCCGACCGAACCAUUAAUUGACCCGUUGAUUUAGACCGAGAAAACAAUCUCAUAAACCCAAACCCCACUGACAUGGACCGAACGGGAGUCCGGUUCAUACCAUCAAAAUUCACACUUGGACUCACUAUUAAAACUUUUUUCUUCUCAUCCAAACCAACCGGUUCAAUAACAUCGGGCUCAUGAUUAAAAACGGGUUCAGCCAAAUUUGGUUCAGAGAUCUGUAUCUGAACAGAAGAACCUGCAUCAUCCGAACCGGGAACAAGUUCAGCUCGACAAACCGGACAAGUAGAGUGAUGCAACAACCAAACAUCAACACAAUCACGAUGAAAUACAUGGCUACAAUUAGGAAUCAAACGCAGCGUUUCAUCAUCCGCAAACUCAUUUAAACACACUGCACAUUCUAACGUGACUCUUCCAAUCUUGAGAUCCUUCACCUCAGAAUAUACAAAUUUCGGAAAAUUUUCAAUGAUCGUUGGAUCAAGACCGCGUGAUUGCCGGCAAACAUCACCACCGGUAACCGGAGCAGUUAGAUCGACCCUUCCUCGUAUUCUUCGUUCUCUACAUUGGCGAGUGUAGAUUGAAAUAAAACCUAAUGUGAAGAAAACCAUGACGAGUAUCACAAGGACUGAUGCCAUAGUUUUGUCGAACUUCAUUUUCGCGAAUGCAUCUUGCGGUGGUGAUGGCUGAGCAGUUGCCGGAAAGAUGAAAGAAAGAAAAAGAAGAAGAAAAGGAAACGGUUGCCAUGCAUGGCGGUGAAAUUUUUUACAGAGUUGUAAGAGAGUGAGAGAUGGUGCGGGUGCAGGGAAUAUGGUGUGAAUGCGCAUAGUGAAUCAUAGAGGUGAAGUGUGAAGGUGUGAAAAUUUGCUGUGAGAGCAAGAAAAGAAUAGUGAUGGCGAUGGAAUUUGUGUACUCUUUUACGUUUCUUGUUAUUGAGAAAGUUUGUUGUUCCUUAAGAGUAACGUAAAAUGGAGUUUUGAUUAAUAAAAAGUAAAGUGUGAUUAUGACGUUAUGGAUUUAAUGGAUCGAUUUGGUCUUUU
Molecule: long non-coding RNA, 1460 nt
Filed under: Medicago truncatula (barrel medic)
Lineage: Eukaryota; Viridiplantae; Streptophyta; Magnoliopsida; Fabales; Fabaceae
Description: lncRNA gene31564
Source: RNAcentral